Molecule: long non-coding RNA, 223 nt
Filed under: Mytilus galloprovincialis (Mediterranean mussel)
Lineage: Eukaryota; Metazoa; Mollusca; Bivalvia; Mytilida; Mytilidae
Source: RNAcentral
CAGUUUUGUCCAUAAUCCAGUUGAUACUACGAUUGUGCCUUUGCCCAUAUUUUGUAACUACUGAUGAAGUCUAAGACCCCUUAACAAUACAAUGCGGUAUUGGUAUUGCUUAUUGUACAAACCGUACGGAGAUAAUGGUGAUUUAUAUUCUUGUGAAUGGUUUUUAAUGAACAUGCUGAAGUCAUCGCAUUCUUUAUUAUUCUAAAUAGUAUCAUGACCGACA